GAAAACGAGAUCGCAGCCUACGCCCUACCUACAACAGUCGAUCGAGAAGACGGAAUCGGGAGCGUCUCCAUCUCGAAACCGUCCAUAACUGCAGUCGCGUCGGUGUCGGGCCGUCGGCGAGCGGGCGAUCACGCUACACCAAACCAAACCCUGUAGUCGCGUCGGGCCGUCGGGCGUCGGCGAUCGGAGCGUCCGGGCGAUCAGCCGAUCACGCAACACCAAACCGAACCCUGCAGGAAACCGAUUGCCUUCGGCUCAUCGGACCUAUCGGAUUCAGGCUGCUGCCAUUGUCGCCUUCUUGUUCGUUUCCUUUCCCAAAUUUCAGACUCGUCGGAUCGAUUCGUAACCGACUCGAGCCUCCACCCCCCAGAUCGGUUCUUCCCUCCUCAGUCAAAGAUCACACUCAAAGUGCAGUAGUUCAACUGGACAGGACCCAAAACUAGGGCGAUGAGUACGAACCUGCUCCUGGUAAGGUGACCAGACGCGGCAAGCUUGAUAAUUACAGUUUUUGGACUCAUGGCAACUUUGUGGCUCGUCGGAAGCACUCUGGCUGCUUCUCCUUCCUGCCCGCUCUGCGAACUCUCUUCUUUUUUGAGCUCAUUGAUAGAGAUGAACCAGUUACUGGAGCCUACAUUUUCCUUGGAAUCCCUCUUGGGCGGGGCACCCGACGUAAUGGUGAAUUGGACUAUGUUUGCAAGACAUGCUAUCGUCAGUUUCAUGUCCCACUUGCUGGUCUGACGAGGAAAUGUGGAUGUGAAGAUAGCAAGGUGGAGAGGGUAUGUAAAAUGUGCUAUCUUGACGCCGAUGUGUUGCAUGCCUUCCUAGGAGGAUUCCGUUUUGGCCAUCACCAAGAGAGCUUUGUAAAGCGUUACUGCUCCUACUACUGAGCAGUGAGCCCUGCUUCAGUCACUCUGAUAGGAAACAGACUUGUUGAUGAUGCUUUAGUUAGAUUUUGUCGGUGGCAUACCUUUUCGAAUGACCUAUGUAAUUUAUAGUGCCUGGUCAUCAUUGCUAGUGUAAAUAAACUUGUAAGUAUGGACGGACCAUUGUACUAGUCCAAUAUCUGUGCUUGAGUAUACAAUCGUUUGGAUGCUACGACUG
This is a long non-coding RNA of Triticum aestivum (bread wheat), 1101 nucleotides long. RefSeq lists it as uncharacterized. NCBI's taxonomy places the organism in Eukaryota, Viridiplantae, Streptophyta, Magnoliopsida, Poales, Poaceae. The record is from RefSeq and is a predicted model, not a curated record. The transcript has 5 exons.